Molecule: small nucleolar RNA, 138 nt
Organism: Tachyglossus aculeatus (Australian echidna)
Lineage: Eukaryota; Metazoa; Chordata; Mammalia; Monotremata; Tachyglossidae
Source: RefSeq, a predicted model, not a curated record
CCCCUCUCAGGAUCACAACUGGUGAGUUUCCAGUACUCUACCAGUCUCGGCUACAGGAGGGAGAAUCAAGCAGAGGAAUAACCAUUCCAUUCCUAGAUUGGCCAAUGGCUAGCGAAUGGUAAGCAAUCUGCUACAAGU